Pipra filicauda (Wire-tailed manakin) is the source of this 4027-nucleotide long non-coding RNA. RefSeq lists it as uncharacterized. The transcript has 8 exons. NCBI's taxonomy places the organism in Eukaryota, Metazoa, Chordata, Aves, Passeriformes, Pipridae. The record is from RefSeq and is a predicted model, not a curated record.
CUGCGCGUGCCUCUGAGGGGGGCAGCGCUUGCCGCUGAGGGGGCGCGAGCGUGCCGAGGGCGGGAAACCGUGAGGGAGAGACCGCCACACACCCACACGCACACACGGCCCCUUCCCAGAGCUCGUGAGGUGAAGCUCCCACAGAACCCCGAGGAGCAGCCCCGGCUUCUCUCCCACGGCGAGGAGCGGCUUUUCCAGAGCGCUCAGGAGCGCGGCUUUCGCUGGAGCAGAGCCGGGACGGGGGUUUUCCUCGCGCUUCAGCGCAUCCUGAGGGGACGCGCGCCCGUGAUUAAAAAGCAUUAAGACUUCGCAUAUCACUGAGGCUGAGCAUCAUGCAAGAUCUGGCAAGAGCCAAUUUUUGCCUAAAGAGACGUGUUUGGGAAAGAAAACACAGCUUUCUGCCUAAUUAGACAGGUUUGAGACAGAAAACACAGUUUUACAAAGGGAUAGGUGAAUUAGCAAAGAAAACAACAACAAAAAAAGUUGAAAAUCACCGGAGUACCCAGAAAGACACAUUGUAGCAGGUCAGUUCUUUGCAAGAAUGUUGCUCCAGGCACCCUUUUGGUCCUGGAAACCUUGGACAAUGCAAGACUGUUACCAAUACAAGAAACAUUUUCUAAAUACAUGUGCAAAAAAGUUUCAAAUACCGGUGUUCAACCCCUACACCCACAGUUGUUCAUGUGCCUUUCACUGCCCAGCCAUGAGCAGUUAAUCCAACGCUUCAUAGCAAAUUGCAUCCUUCAUCUUAUCUAUUAAUUUAAUUUUGACCAAAACAUUUCUUCUCUUGAGCUGUUUUCUCUCAGUAUGCAACACACUAGAAAUCCCCUUAUUUAAUUGUGAAGUAUCUCUGUACUUUACCGGGUACACUGAUUAUUUCUUAAUUGCAUCAAAUGCAACGCUGAAAAGGGUUUUUUUUUUCUUCUUCUUUUGGCCAUGUUUAUCGUAGUCUCUGUCAUAAAAAGAAUGUCAAGUCACUUUAGCCAAGUGCAGUUAUGGAGCAAUGUAUCUAAAUAAAAAUAUGUAAUAUAUCAGAACCAUAAAACAUUUUAGUACUGAGGCCCAGAAAACAUUAAUCAUUAUCUUACACUGUACAUACUGCACACUUUUAAACUUUGUAUAAAAAUGCAAUUACUUGAAACGUCAUGUUACUUUGAGCAGGCACACAGACCUUCAGCAUUUUUAAAACAGGAAAGCAGCAAAACAAGAGCAAGAGAGAAGUUGGACAGGUCUGCUUCUCAAGGGAAAGGAGUGCUGAUCUGAUCUUUCAGCCACAGGCCACAUUUACCAAUUUAAUUACAAUUACUGUUUGCCAGAAGAAUCAUAAUGCAGUGUGUUAUUAAUUAUUUGUCCAUUCAAAUAUAACAUUCAGCCGGUUAAGUCAUCAAUAAAAUCAUGACUUGAGUGGCAAAACAAACAAUGUGCAGAGCAAACACUUGAAAGCAUCCAUUUCUGGGCUAGAUGUUGUUAGUAAAGUUAUCCCACAAACAGCCAGACAGCAAAUACGUUCACUGAACACAGAAUUCACAUGGAACCACAUUGAAAUAAUGUGGAUUUUUUUUUUUAAGAGUUGGGUUUUUUUUAUUUAUGUAAGGAUAUUAUGAAAGGCAAGAAAAUAACAGUGCAUUGUUCUCCAGCACUAGUGUCUCCAGCAUAAAACAAUCAAUUUAAAGCCAUGCAAAAUGGCUAAUACUGUUAUUGCUGUCCUUUUUCAUAACUCAGUGUCAUUUUAUUCAUCUUGCCCCUAAGAAAUGACCUUUUCUGUGCAUAUCCCCACCUUUUUCCACAAAUCCCCUGAGUGACAGAAUCUCAUCCUAAUCCCAUUUCCAUUUAGAUGUUGCAGAAAAGCACUGUAGACCUUCGAGGGAAUAAGUAAUCAUAAUGGAAAGAUAAUAAUAUGUUUAUGAAAUCUGGAUUUUUAUAAUAGCAAAUUGAAAAAUUACAAUAGUAUUUCAAGCCACCUAAGGUCAAUGUUACCAAGCGCAAAAAGCCAUUGAUCAAGUGUGUUUAAAGUUUCCCACUUUAGGUUAAUUUUCAACACAAAACAUCUCUGUUUCAGAGAGCAGCACCUCUCUUCUGAGGCGAUUCCUCAUCUACCUAGUGAUCACAAAACCUGGUGUUAAAGCCAGUAGUUGUUUGUAGGGAAAAAUAUACUCAGUAUUUUUCUACAGACCUAAAAAGCACAGAACAACUUCACAAGGCCUCUACAAAAUGCACCAUAGGCCACAGUUUAAGAACUCCAGCCCUUAGUAAUUCUUAAAGGUAAAAAAUAUGUAAAAUCUCAAAAAUAAAUAUAUCAAAAUACUCCUUUCAAUAUUAUGCAGUUGUACCUUUUUCUGCUGGAGGUAAAUUUGCUUGCUUAUGCCUAAAAAGAACACCAAAGUUGUACAUACAGACAACCACUGAAACUUCACUGAGGUCCUAGAUUAAAAAAAAAAACAUAACCAAUCAAAAACUAGCACUUAAACCCUGUCCUCAGCUAAUUAAGGAGUUUCCCCCUCUCUUUGAGCUUCAGCUUUCCACUGUUUUAAACCCCAGCUCAGACACAUCAACAGCCACUGGGACUCGAUGGAGUUUUCUGUGACUGAACCAGCAGUUGUUACCUGAAAAAGAUUUUCUUGUCCUCCCGCUCUCCCUGAAGGGCUCAGUGCUGCUGCCAAGGGCGGUUGUGCUCUUGCCUUCACCCUGGUCCUGGCCCUGCAGCCUCUUCUCUCUUACCCCAGCUCUGGUUCCCAACCAAUCCCCUUGUACAAUGGGACAGUUCAUUCACUGAUGAAAAGCUAAUUGGGUUUUUUUUGCUGAGUUCAUUUUAGGCUGGCCUGACUUGCUGAAGCUGUGACACAAGCACCAGAGCUGACACGAAGAAAGCAUCAGGAGAGCACAUCCACACACCAAACCACCCCUUUUGGAGACAAGAUGUGAGAUCAGACGCUGUAAGAGCACGCAGCAAUUUCUGGUUGCAACGAAACACUCAACGGACCUUGAGACCCUCCGUGCUUCUGACUUCUUCCAGGAACAUUUGGGAGCACCUCAACUGCUUCUGGGGUCACAAAAUUCCUUCCAGCACAAGGAACAGUGGAGGCGUCGGAGAACAACCCCCCAGGUGACAGCAGCAGCCUCAGAGGCUUUUGCAGACUAAGGAAAGAGUCUGAAGGAGCUGCUUGGCAGAGCUCUUUGGGCUGAGUGACUGGGCUGAGGCAUUCCCAAGGAUUUCUCUGGAAGGUGUGACCUGCUCUUUGAAAGUGGGGGAAAAUACUUAUUUUUAAUCACCUUCAUCUCAAGAGCUGUAAUUGAGGUUAUGAAGUUAUAGUGGAUUAACAGCUCUGCACUGCUGUUGGCUCCUGUGUAUGGUGGUGGAAAAGAACCCACGAGCAGCUUUGAUCCGAAGGGACUAAAACAGAUGGAAGCCUUGGGAUCCUCCUGUGCUCGGAUAUGCCUGCCUGGUAAUUAUUCAUGAGGAGAACAGCUGAAAACAAACUCGUUAUACACCUUGGCAAGUCCCUGUGAUUUGAAUUCUGUGAAAUUUCCCCAUGGCCAUGUGACUUUAUUCUGAAGUACUCGAGCAGUGCAGAUGUCCAGAAUGCCAGAGCUGUUACAAAUGUUAUUCCUGUAGUCAAAGUUUUGAAUCAUCAGCGCUUCAGGAAAAGGGGUGGGGGGGGGGGAAAGAAGAAAAAAGAGGAGCAAAGACUGAUGAUACAGGGUGUGUUUUGAGUGUUUGUCACAUCCUUCAUUACGUGCAGCUCUCGUACAUUACCAGAGCACAGACAGAUCUUAGGAAUAUAUCUCCAUGCGUGUUCAGGGCACAGAAUGGAAUUUUCAAAUUUCCAAUGCCUGGAAGAACAGCCCACUGAAAGGCACCGAGUAUUUUAACUGUCUCCUUUAAGCCAUGAUACAAUAAGCAUCAGCACUGACAUUUUUGGAAGUUUAGAAGUAAGACAAUUUCUGUGUAACAUUGGAUGAAGAAUCGAAAUGCUUCAGAUUUAGCUAAAAAUAAAACAUUUCUCUGCUUUCGCCUUUUCUUUUUCUUCUC